RNAcentral lists this ribosomal RNA (1381 nucleotides) under Triticum aestivum (bread wheat). Its description in RNAcentral is "partial small subunit ribosomal RNA". Lineage: Eukaryota; Viridiplantae; Streptophyta; Magnoliopsida; Poales; Poaceae. The record is from RNAcentral.
CUCCCGGAGACACCACGAACACCACCGGUGCCUGUGCCUCUCGUGGUGGUUCCUGCCACCCCUACCCCUGAGCAGAAGACAGCACUCCGGGUAUCCAGAUAGUGUACAGGCACACCUUCCUGAUCCGAGGGGACCUCACAAACAGAAAGGAAAUCGCUCGUACUGUUGCUGUGGAUGUUAAAGCUUCCGGCAUCGACCGUCACAACUGGUCAGCCGGUCGUGUGGCGACCUAAGAGGUUGUCGGACAGGUCUCCCCUCCGUCAAGUAAGAGGCGGCCAACGCGGCCUCCAGGGAAGUAAAUACGUGUCCCCGAAGGCGGUCUCCAAGGGAUCCUCUAGCACUGUGGGAAUUCCCGACGGUUGCUCCGCGACUUCACGGACACUAGUCAGAACUUCAUCCACCCCGAAAGACGUCUAGGGUUGAAGUUCCACGAGCAACCCCUCUUGGUAUCGGAACAACGCGUCCAGAGCCUCAACCUCCUCGUCGACCCUCGAGAACCUCGUCUUCUGGACACCGAACGUCGCACGGUCCCUACCGCGGAGGACAUUCACUGGUGAAACUUAACUUGAGUCGCACCAGGACGGAAAAUCAAACUACACAGACCUACCCCCAUAACAUUAAAGAAGGUACACAUCGGGGGCCCCUACGACGUCGGGAGGCAGUUCUUAACCUACUCCGGAGGUCCUCGAUCUCUAUUACAACAGGAGGUUUAGUGUAAACCUCCGAUGGGAAGUUGCCCUCGUCCUACAUACAGCGCGGGAAACAUUACUGAGUCUCCUCUUAUUCCUGGCAGCCCCAAACUAGGUCGCACUAGACCUCCGGUGCCUCUUCUUUAACUGCGUCGUCCCACUGCACCGGACCCACCGGCUUAUCUUCGAGGCGACGGUCUCUAGGUCUUGCUACUACGCCUCCGGACCUAGGUUCUGCAGCGCCGCCACCGACUCUUCUACUCCUGGCGGGAAUUCCAACAGCAACCAUGAAAUGUGGCGCUACCAGAGGACGACUUCAGAUUGUAACUCUGACAGGACCUAGACGAGCCCCUUCAUAGGACUAGUAGGUCUCCUGAUCUAGAUGAGGUGCCGGAAACUUCCUCGAGCGGUUCAAACGCGACCACACUCCCGCGUAGUAGGAUUGAACUUGAACACCAGAGACCACUCCGGAGACAGCCCCUCAGGAUUAGGCGUCGUUAAGGAGUAACUUCUCCGGUUCAUACAGCGUCCUCACACAGGGGAUGUUUUGUAAUAAUUCUCUGCGGGGUUCGGACUGUCAGGAUGUAUCAUCUCAAACAUACGUUCUAAUACUACAUGAUACAACAUCAUGGCGAUGACCAACAAAAAUUAACUGGACAGUAACAACACAGCACGUUACAGAAAUAUAGGCG